GACGAACGCUGGCGGCGUGCUUAACACAUGCAAGUCGAACGGAAAGGCCCUGCUUUUGUGGGGUGCUCGAGUGGCGAACGGGUGAGUAACACGUGAGUAACCUGCCCUUGACUUUGGGAUAACUUCAGGAAACUGGGGCUAAUACCGGAUAGGAGCUCCUGCUGCAUGGUGGGGGUUGGAAAGUUUCGGCGGUUGGGGAUGGACUCGCGGCUUACCAGCUUGUUGGUGGGGUAGGGGCUUACCAAGGCUUUGACGGGUAGCCGGCCUGAGAGGGUGACCGGCCACAUUGGGACUGAGAUACGGCACAGACUACAACGGGAGGCAGCAGUGGAGAAUGUUGCACAAUGGGCGGAAGCCUGAUGCGGCAACGCCGCGUGCGGGAUGACGGCCUUCGGGUUGUAAACCGCUUUCGCCUGUGACGAAGCGUGAGUGACGGUAAUGGGUAAAGAAGCACCGGCUAACUACGUG
Molecule: ribosomal RNA, 468 nt
Filed under: uncultured bacterium
Lineage: Bacteria
Description: partial 16S ribosomal RNA
Rfam family: Bacterial small subunit ribosomal RNA
Source: RNAcentral